This 367-nucleotide ribosomal RNA is filed under the name uncultured bacterium. RNAcentral describes it as "bacterial SSU rRNA". It matches the Rfam family "Bacterial small subunit ribosomal RNA", at positions 29 to 421 of the family's 1533-position model. The record is from RNAcentral.
AGCGAACGCUGGCGGCAGGCUUAACACAUGCAAGUCGAACGGGCGUAGCAAUACGUCAGUGGCAGACGGGUGAGUAACGCGUGGGAACGUACCUUUUGGUUCGGAACAACCCAGGGAAACUUGGGCUAAUACCGGAUAAGCCCUUACGGGGAAAGAUUUAUCGCCGAAAGAUCGGCCCGCGUCUGAUUAGCUAGUUGGUGAGGUAACGGCUCACCAAGGCGACGAUCAGUAGCUGGUCUGAGAGGAUGAUCAGCCACAUUGGGACUGAGACACGGCCCAGACUCCUACGGGAGGCAGCAGUGGGGAAUCUUGCGCAAUGGGCGAAAGCCUGACGCAGCGACGCCGCGUGAGGGAUGACGGCCUGUGU